GUAUUUAAACUACUAGAAAUAAUCGUGCUUUGGUUUUAGAUACAUUUUAAGAUUGUUCCUCCAUUUUUAUGUUUUAUAUCAAAGAAGAUAUUCACUGGCAUGCUAUGUAUUCUUAAUGCUGGCUGGCUUAUCCCCUGUCUCAGCAACUAAAAAAUGAAUAGCACAUGAGAGCUCUACAGGCGCGUAUCAGCUUGGAGGAGAACUCUAACCAUGGAUAGAAUUGCUUUUGCCAUCAUGUUUUAUGUUAUUUUUUUUCACAGAGCAUUAGUGAAAAUUAGCAGUUCAAAAUCUGGUGUCUGUAGCAAUUCCUGUGUGCUGGUAACUGCUGACACUGUGCAUGCAUGAUUCGGCAUGAGAUUCCUGUUCAUUUAACAUCCAUUGUCUGUUCAAAUGUCUCUGUGUUUUGUUAUUUUCAUUUCCAUCAAGAUGAAUAAAGUACAUUUUAACUGGGCAGUCCUAAAGAUGAAUAUGUCCGCCAGCCUCUGGAGUUUUAGUAGAAGUUAAUUGGCAUGAGAAACGAUAAAUUAAUAGAGAAUAAUAUUAAAAGUGCUGAGGAUCCAGGCACUGCAGAUAAAGCCAUCACGUGUGAUGAUGGCAUCCUGUAUGGGUGCUGGUUCAUGUCCUAGCUGCUUCACUUUUGAUCCAGCUCCCUGCUAAUGGUCUGGGGAAAGCAUCAGAUGAUGACCCACAUGUUUAGGCCCCUGUACCAAAGUGAGAGACCUGGAUGAAGCUUCUGGCUUCAGUCUGGCCCUGUGCUUGCUUUUGCAACCAUCUGGGAAAUGAACUAGCAGAUGGAAAAUGAACUUCUCCCAUUAGCCCCUCCUCAAAACUCAAAACUUUCCCCAAAAUAAAUACUUUUUUUAAAAAGUGGUGAGAGAGUGAGUUAAGGUUAGGCUUAUCUUACACAGUCUCCCAUUCCGGGGGUGACACCAAGACCCAAUUGGCUAAUUGCCUGCCUGUAAGCAGCAGAAUCCCACUUGGACACUGUUUCAUGCCUUGGAUGCUCCACAAUGUCCAAAAUGUCACAUAGCUAGUAAGUACAAGGCUGGGUUCAAAUCUAGACCUGGUGACCUGAGUGAGAAUCUGGACUAAACAUGAAACUUCCCAUGCUGUAACUAAAACCGAUUUGAGAAACUGAAGGUGAGAUUUAAUAGAUUAUAGAGUGAUUGAUAUGGCUUGGUACCUAAACCUAUUUGUCUAAAAAAAAAUUGGAAUUUAGAAAAACAGCAAAAAUAUCCCAAUUAUGAAAUUUAAUUAUUUGUGCUGACAGAUUUGCUCUUAUACAUACACUUGUAUUUUAGUUGUCAUUAUUUGUGUCUGUCUAAAAUUAGGAGGCCUUAAAAAGCAAGCAUUUCUUCUAAAUUAGGUGGCCUUUAAAAGUAAAUCUCCUAUUUGUAUGUGAAGUAGUAUCCAACCAAUAGUGUGCAAUACUGCAAGGUCAAAUUUUAGAUCUUACAAUUUUUCACCACAGGCUUCAGCUUGCUUGCAGUUUUAGUCUCUUAAUGUGGCCUGCUGCCUCUGGGUGUCCUGGCUGCUGUUGGACCCCCCAGUUUCAUUCUGGGUCAGGCUAUCCCAGCACUUUAAUUCAAAUUACUGUUCAGUCCUUGACCACCUGCUGCUCCCUCUGUGUGAAAUACUUGGCCCUCCCUGCUGAUAUCCCUUGAUUAAAUGUAGCUAUCAGGAAGCUGCUUAAAUGUCAUGUCUUUCAAGAUGUAGAUUUAUUUUCAUUCAUUUGAAAGGCAGAUCUGCAUUCACUAA
Long non-coding RNA from Ochotona curzoniae (black-lipped pika), 1758 nucleotides. RefSeq lists it as uncharacterized. NCBI's taxonomy places the organism in Eukaryota, Metazoa, Chordata, Mammalia, Lagomorpha, Ochotonidae. The record is from RefSeq and is a predicted model, not a curated record. The transcript is spliced from 2 exons.